RNAcentral lists this transfer RNA (100 nucleotides) under Loxopholis parietalis. RNAcentral describes it as "tRNA-Asn". Lineage: Eukaryota; Metazoa; Chordata; Lepidosauria; Squamata; Gymnophthalmidae. The record is from RNAcentral.
CUGAAUAAACGAGCUUCGAUCUCGCGACAAUUUAAUUAACAGCUAAAUACCCAAUCCAGCGGGCUUCUAUUCAGCUUCCCCGUCUCGGCUGUGACGGGGA